This is a long non-coding RNA of Carya illinoinensis, 3017 nucleotides long. RefSeq lists it as uncharacterized. The record is from RefSeq and is a predicted model, not a curated record. NCBI's taxonomy places the organism in Eukaryota, Viridiplantae, Streptophyta, Magnoliopsida, Fagales, Juglandaceae. The transcript has 2 exons.
CAAAUAAGUGAAGAAAAUGGCAAAACGCCACUUUUUCCUUCUUUCUCCCAUGAUGCCUAUUUGAACCCCCAACCCUAACUAUCUCUCUCUCUCACUCCCCCGAUGCCUUUGCACCGCUGUAGUCCCUAGCCGUCGUCGAUAGUGGGUUCGUAUGCCGGUAAGGCUCCGACCAGCCAUCGCACAGUAGCAGACUCUCUCUCUCUCUCUCAAUUUCUCCCUCUGUUUCUCCCAUCUCUCAGCCACCACCCACGCCAUCAGCCACCGCAAGCACACCAGGCACGAGCAACCAUCACCACACAACACCACAACCAAGCCCCUUUACAUCAGACAAGUGCUGCAAGCCACCAUUGCAUGCCCCUUUCCUCAUCGAAGCUUCCAACUCCUCUGUACCCAGCCACUAUCCGUCGUACAGAACCACCUAGUUGUGCCCAGCCCCAUCACCUCCUUCAUUUAUAGACCACGAAGUCGUGAUCCCUUGUGGAGAUGCCCCUUUUCUCUCCUCGCCCACACAGCAUCUAGUUCCAUCUCUAACCAGCCCCUAAAUUUUGAUAUAAUCCCUAUUUCCCUAUCUCCUAGAUUAAUAAUUACACUUGAUUUAAUGAUGUUAUAUUUGAAUGCUUGGACAUAGGCAAGUUGUGUUAUACUUGGUUGGAAUUGUAUUGAGCCAUGAUGAAUUGAAUAUGCGUGUUGUAUUUAUUAUGAGGGUUGGGAUUGAAAUAUAGAUCUAUGGUACUCCAUUACAUGCUGAUUUACAGGGGUGUGGGAGAGGGCAAGUAUUAAUUUCCUACUAAAUGCUUGUUUGCAGUUUUGUUUGGCAUCUAAAGUGUAAUUCUAAAAUGCCUCAUCCAUAUAUACAGACUGCUAUCGCAUAUUGUUUGAUCCAUUAAUUAUUUGGUAAUAAAAUAAGAAAUCAUUCUCAUCGCAGAACAAAGUUAGGAAACCAGUUUUGGAAUAUGUAUAUUGUGGCUUCUUAAUGGCCAUCAUCUUGACUAAAGCUCAAUGUUGCAUAUGUUGUCACGCUUCUAUAUUUGAAUUAUUGUCUUCAGUUAACUCAUCUUUCUUGUUUACCUUAGAUAAGGCCCAUUCUCUGUGUGUGUGUGUGUAGUUAUUUAUAAAAUACUUGUUAUUGAUGGUUUUGGCCUGUCAUGCUUAUAACUAAAGUUGCAUGAAGUUUCACUUAUCAUUCAUGCUGUGUUUUAUUAUUUCUCAACUUAUCAAUUAAUUUUAGUAAUAUACAUUUCAAUUCAUUCGUUGAUGUGUCAGAAGUUUUUUGUUUUUGCAGUCAUGCAAUUCUUAUCUAUCUUGCUUGUGCAUUUCCUGUAAGUUAUUUUAAUAUAUUUUUAUUUAUUUCAUUGUGCAAUUAUCUAACAAAUGGGAUUGUUCCAGUGCUAGGCUAGAAACCUCAAAAUUUAUCAUUUGCAUAGAAUGAGGGAACCCAAGAAAAGGAAUGAAAAAAUAAGCUCAUUCAAUUGGUGAUGUUAAUUUCCUGGAAAGUCUCAACUUUUUUUGGUAUCCAAACACUUUCCUAGAGCAGUAACCUUUGGAAUUUGGUUUUCCUUUAGUUCCUACUCCUAUGUAUACCUCUCUGAUCUUAUAGGUGGAUGUUGAGAAACGAGCUAGAUGGCUUAAACUUCAAUGAGCUCCAGAACCUAGAGGACCAGUUGAGUGAAGGGGUAUUAUCGGUGAAGGCCAAGAGACCAUCUAUUGGAAAUAUUUUGGAAAAAAUAGUUUCAGACUAUCAUAUCCUUUAUGGUGGCCAGUUGGAUGAAGAAGUUGUACUGAGCAAGUGUACCAAUGCCCCGCUACUAGUAUAUACAAAUAUUUGUAUUUUUGCUCAUUAGAUAAUCUUUGGUCAUUUCUUGCUUUGAACGAUCCUUUAAUUAUCAAUUAUUAAGUUUUUGGUACAAGGUAUUUUCCCUUGUGUGCUUUCCACAUAUUUUAGGUAGAGUUUUUUUCUUAAUUAGGUGGUAUACUUCUUUAUAUAUGGCCCUAUAUUACACUUACUUGGUUACAAGUUUAUGCUUGUAAUAAACCUAUGGCUCAAUAUGUGGGCUAGCUAUAUGGUUGUUGGAAAUGUUAAUUUUUGCAUACUUGUAUUAUUUUUGCAAACAUUCUUAACACAAUUUGAAGAUGAUGACGAGAAUUUUUCUUGUUACAUUCUUAAUUUUUUUGGUACCCUCCCCUUUUGCUCUGUCCUUAUGAGCAAUUUCAUAUUUUCUGAUGGAUCUCUCAUUUUAUAGGACUUGAUUUAGUUAAUUGAAACAUUCUCUCAACCCUUCCCCAUUAUAGUUUUAGGGGGUGGAAGCUUUCAUCUUGAUAGGGUUAUGUGAAGAAUGUUACAUCUCUUUGAACCUGUUAUACAAUACAAUAAUAUAUUACUGAACUUGGUGAUCAUGGUUCUUUGUUCUGUAUGCUUGUAAUUAUCAAGUAUUAAGCUGGUUCUUAUCAUCUUAUUACCAAUCUCAUUUUUAUCAAAAGCUUGUGUUACCUUUUUGUUACUUCUAAUACAUGAUGCAAUGCAGGAUCUGAAGACUUGUAUCAAAAUUUGAGUGCUGUAAUUUUGUUAAGGAGUAAUACUUGGGUCCUUUCUGUGUCUUAGGGUGCUGUCACUUAAUUCUUAUAAUUUUUUUGGGCUUUGUAUACGUCUUUUGCUCUCAAAUAUGCUGCUGAAACUGCUUGCACUAUGCUUCGUGUAUACCAGGUAGUUGAAUAUGAGAACGUGCCAUUUCAUUUUGGUUAUAUUCUUUUUGGUUGAAUCUUUUGUCAGUGAAACUCAAGAAGUCUAAUUUUUUUCCCUUAGAACUAUGGUGCCAUUUCUUUUCUUGAAAAUGAUGACAAGGGAUAUCAUUUGGAACUCAAGUAUACAUUUGAGAUCAAAAGAGCAAUUAGAUGAGUUUUGCCCAAACAAUUGUAUUUUUAUUCUUUUCCAUUUCUUUCCCUUCUUGUGAAUUACAUACAUGUUUGUUUGUGAUAUUUAGUAAUUUAGUUGAAUAUUGAUUGGUAGGUGUGAAACAAUA